This 4234-nucleotide unclassified non-coding RNA is filed under the name Agrilus planipennis (emerald ash borer). RNAcentral's name for it is "protein O-mannosyltransferase 1, transcript variant X4". The record is from RNAcentral. Lineage: Eukaryota; Metazoa; Arthropoda; Insecta; Coleoptera; Buprestidae.
AUCUAUGUCUAAAUGUAUAUCUAUGAAUUGUAAAUGCUGUCGUGUAAAGAUAAAGUGUAAAUAUGGUAUAACGGCGCAAACAUCGGAAAAAAAACAAUUUCUUUUUGCAUUGUGGUUUCUCGUUCUCGAUAGUUGAUAGUUUUGUGAGGAUAAAAAUAAUAUUCACGACACUCGCUUUCUAAUGGGUGGAACUACCAUGCUUCUUUUGAGAAAAUCGGCUUUUUAAGCUUAUUUACAACAUAGGCUACACAGCAACUUAGUUUUAAUAAAUAAAAGGAAUGAAAAUAUGGAGGAUUUAAAAAAGACCGGCCAAACUUCUAAAACUCAUUUUAAUAAAGGGGACAAAAAGCACAUUGAAUCAAAGCAACAAUAUGAAGAAUUAAUUAAUAAUGCCAUGGAAAAUGAUUUUCAUAAAAAAUUCAGUGAUGAGAAUAAUGAAAAGUAUGAAACAAAAUCAUAUUUAUUUUCAAUAAAAAUUCAACUGGAUGGUAUAUCAUUUAGCUUAUUCUUAAUGGCUCUUUUCAGUCGCCUUUAUAAACUUCAAGAACCUAAUUAUAUUGUUUUUGAUGAGCUCCAUUAUGGCAAAUAUGUUUCAAUGUAUAUCCAAAAUACUUUUUAUUUUGCAUCUAAUCCAUCAUUUGGAAUUCAGUUAAUUUCUCUGUUAUCAUAUCUAUGUGGAUAUGAUGGUAAUUUUAAAUUUGAUACAAUUGGUAAAGCUUACAGUCCAGAAAUUCCAUUGUUUGCACUUCGCAUUGUCCCUGCAUUUUUUGGCAGUUUGCUUGUACCAUUGGCAUACCAUAUACUUUUAGAAUUGAAGCUGUCUCAGUGGACUGCACUACUGGGAGCACUUUUAAUUUUAUUUGAUAAUGCAUUCCUAACACAAAGCAGAUUUAUAUUAAUGGAGACAAUUCUUAUAUGUUUUGCUGUUUGUGGUAUUUUUUGUAUACUUCGCUUUUGCAAGUAUAAACACAAUCCCUAUUGUUUUCAUUGGUGGCUUUUGAUGUUUAUUGCCUGGAUUUUUCUUACUUUGGCAGUAUGUGUAAAGUAUGUGGCUUUUUACACAUAUUGUUUGGGAAUUGUGCUGGUGUUACACAAUUUUUGGAAUAUUGUGCCGUCUAGAAAUACUUCCGAUAAGUCAUUGUUUAUACAGUUCUGCAUACAAAUCAUUUCAGCCAUCAUUAUUCCUUUUAUGGUUUAUUUGGCAGUAUUUUAUGUUCAUUUAAGUGUAUUAUACAAAGCAGGUCCACAUGACAAUGUUCUCACAAGUGCUUUUCAGGCAUCUCUUGAAGGAGGGUUAGCUUCAAUCACUAAAGGUCAACCAAUCACUGUUGCACAUGGAUCUCAGAUAACAUUGAGGCAUUCUCAUGGUCGCACUUGCUGGCUUCAUUCCCAUCAACAUGUGUAUCCCAUACGUUAUUCCGAUAAAAGGGGUUCUAGUCAUCAGCAACAAGUUACGUGUUAUUCUUUUAAGGAUGUUAACAACUGGUGGAUAGUCAAACGACCUGAAAAAAAUGAAUUGGUCGUUGAAAACCCGAUUGAUGCAAUCAAACAUGGUGACGUCAUUCAGUUGGUACAUGGUUUAACAAGUAGAGCAUUAAAUUCACACGAUGUAGCUGCACCAAUGUCGCCCCAAUGCCAAGAGGUAUCCUGUUAUAUCGACUACAAUAUAUCUAUGGCUGCUCAGAAUUUGUGGAAAGUAGAUAUUAUUAAUAGAGAACAAAUGGGAAAUGUAUGGCGCGCCAUACAGUCUCAAGUUCGCUUAAUUCAUUUAAAUUCGAAUCAAGCUUUAAGAUACAGCGGCAAGCAGUUGCCCGAUUGGGGGUUUCAUCAACAUGAAGUUGUAACAGAUCGCAUUAUUUACCAAGACGACACUAUUUGGAACGUCGAAGAACAUGUAUACACUAAAUCUGAAGACCAAAAAGAUCGGGAAAGAGAUAUAAUAGCUUCAGAAAUGAUUCCAACAUCUGCCCCACAACUUUCCUUUUGGAACAAAUUUUUCGAACUACAAUAUAAAAUGUUAUUUAAGGGAACCGAAAGUGUGCAAAAUCACAUGUUUAGCUCAGAACCUAUCGAAUGGCCUCUAAUGGUUAGGGGUAUAGCAUACUGGGUUUCUAAUCAUGAUAAUGCUCAAAUUCACCUAAUUGGUAAUAUAAUGACUUGGUACACAGCAACUUUUUCUGUUGUAGUUUAUUGUUUACUUUUUGUAUUUUACCUUUUAAGAAGACGGCGACUGUGUUUUGAUUUAGAAAACGAUGACUGGGAAAUAUUCAAAGCAAUUGGUCUAGUCUUUUUACAAGGAUAUUUGUUUAACUACAUACCUUAUUUUUUUGUGGAAAGAACUCUAUUUUUACAUAAUUAUUUGCCUGCCUAUUAUUUUAAAAUUCUUUUAACAGCAGCAUUGUUCGAGCAUAUUUAUGUAUUGAUUAAGAAAACAGUUCAGAACAAAAUUGCCGCUAAAUUAUUUGUGGUAUUUGUUUUAGUAUGGCUUAUGUAUGUGAUUUACAUAUUUAAGAGAUUUACUGUAUUAAAUUACGGAGUAACCAAAUUAACACUUAACGAUAUUAGGAACCUGAAAUGGCGCGAUAGUUGGGAUUUUAUAUAUCAUAGAAAUUAAUUUUAGAUAAUUUAUUUAUAUACGUAUGUCCUGCUGUUACAAAUAUUAUCGAUGUGUAAUGUAUAAUUUUGAUAACGAAAUUUAUUUUUAUGAAAAGUAUUUUAUCUCAAUAUAAAACUUCACCAGUAAAUUGUUCUAUAAAAAUAAUUUAAUUAUUUUCAAUAUUUGUAGCUAGUUACAGCAAAGUUACGACGAUUGUUGUGCAGAAAGUGAAACAAAAGAAAGAUUCUAAUAAUUAUAAAUCUUAGUGCUACACGACCAAGAUCUUCUAUAGUAUGCUCUCUAAAAAUAAAUUCAGUAAUUCUAUUGAUAUGUUUUUGUAAAAAAUCUCGAGUUUUCAGCCUAUUUUUUGUUUUUUAUUUUCGUGAUAUAACUGUAUAACUCAUUGGAACUUUCGAUUUGAAACAGAGAAUACGAAGUAAUGUGUUGAACACCUACAAGUUGGGUCCUUAAUAGAACUGUAUAAGGUGAUAAAAUAACUGAAUCCUUGGUUGGGAUCGGAAGUACCGGUGUAACAAACAAAUGGCGUAUUAAAUUAGUAUUGGGAAGCUCUUUAGUAAAACGGUUUGUGAACCCUAGAAUCCUGGAAGUUUUACUAAUUACAGCUUCAACAUGUUUAGCAGAUGUAAAUAAUUUGGCGAGCAGACGAUCAUGGCAUAUAAACUCACCGUGUGGAUAUUUUGAUCCAAGGCUGCAGUAACUUGAGCAGCCAUUGACAAAUCCGUGUUGUUGAGGGAUUAUUAGUGUAAAAAAAUGGUCAGUUAUAUGGUCAGCCACAAGCCUGUCAUACAUCUUGUCAAACGUACACAGAGCCGAUAUUGAUGUACAAUAUUUGGCAUUUUACUUAUCACCUUUCUUAUGAAUGGGAAGAACGUAAGAUUUCUUCCAUAAUUCAGAUAAGUAACCUGCUGGAAAGUUAUCGAUUAAAAAAAUUUAACAGUCAGUUUGCUUAAGGUGGACCAACAUUUAUGGAUCAGGGCUGACCGUUUCCUUGAAUGAAUCGAAAGCCUAUGCUAUAGAAGCAUCAGUAACAUCACAGAGAGAAGCCAUGAAACAGUCAGCGUUGAACAUCAAUACUAAUAAUACAAAUAUUCUCGUUAUCUGUUAUGGUUAGCUGUUUCAGAAGCUCCAAGACUUGAAACGCUUGAAUACGGAUAUACUUUCUUCAGAAGGCAACACGUAUGUGCCCUUGAAUUGUAGAUUACUAUCGUAUUUGAUAUGUCUGCUACGGUCACUGGUGUCUUUUGGUGGGAUCCUUUAAUUUUUAUCGAAGAAAAAAUUUUCCAUUCUCUUCAGCGAAUUUUCUAGUUCACUUAUUCGUUUUUUAAAUCAAAAAAUUUCAUUUUCGCAUUUAUCUGGCCAUUUUCUAAAAGGGACAAUAUACAGAUAUGUUUUACCUACCUACAUUACAUACGUCACAGAUACCAUAUGUAAAUAAUUAAAGCUUAUUAACAGAAUAAGCAUGAAUUAAAAACUAAUUUGCCCACUAACCGUGUUUAACACACCAAUACACGAUUAGUUUCACUUUCUGGGGCAACAUUAUCAAAUGGAAUAACAAUUGUACAUUAUCUACUUUGAAUAUGCUAAUUCACACAAAUAAAAAUAAAUAAUUCUUUUUGA